GAAGAAGCAAUGGCGAUAGUUUGUGGACUAAUUUUAACAGAGUACAAACAUUGCAAAAAGAAAAGGCGUUGGUUAAAGGAAUGGAGACAUCGCGAGGAGGGGUUCUACUUGCUACACUGUGAUAUGGAGGUGCGGCGUGUGCAGAAAAUGCUGACGGCCCAGGUUUCCAAAGAUCACCUUGCCUUGUAAUUACCAGGGAGUCAUAGGAGCGCCGCCGAUGCUGUCACUCCGUAAUCACAACCCUAAGGCUGCCUACCUCAGUUCCGACCUUCCCACACACCUCUCCUUUUGACUGGCCGCAUAUGUUUUCUUCUCUCUAUCCAAGGUUUCCUUUCUGUUUCCUGGGGUUUAAAUCAAUUUCCGUUAAACAGAAAGUUUGGUCAAAUACUAUACAUAGAUAGAAAAUAUGAAAAGCAAGAGGUGAUUAGAUUUUAAGCAUAAAUAAUAAACCCCAGUUUUGGGAAGGACUGUCAUUUGUAAAAUACAUACUUGCUGAAUGUUUUGGACUAAAUUAGGAUAUUGUGCAGUCAUUUUAAUAGAUUACGUCCUGCAGACGUCUGCACAUUCAUAUUGAGCUCUCUGUUUAAAUGACUAAUGACCUCUCUAUUAUUGUUUGCAAAAUUAUGUACAUCUAAAUAAACGUAAACAAUUGAUUAAUAUAAAUCUACAGUAUUUUCUGAAUGAAGUUUUCAAGCUAAUAUGAGGAACACAUUGUUAUAGCUUGUCAAAUGUCAAAUUUAUUUUUGUAGUACAUUAAAAACAAAACAUACAGAAUAAAAGAACAUGUGAAAUACA
Long non-coding RNA from Girardinichthys multiradiatus, 795 nucleotides. RefSeq lists it as uncharacterized. The transcript has 2 exons. NCBI's taxonomy places the organism in Eukaryota, Metazoa, Chordata, Actinopteri, Cyprinodontiformes, Goodeidae. The record is from RefSeq and is a predicted model, not a curated record.